AUCUGCAGGUGAGUCCACGGCAGACUGCAGUUGCAGAAGCCCUGAUCUAGAACAGGUACUUCAGGCAGGUUUCUCCUGAGUUCUGAAAGAGUGGAGAGGGUUAGCAAUACAGGCAGCUCUCACCAGCACUAACACCCAGGGCGCCGGUUAGUAUAAGAGCCAAGUGAUCUUAAUUAUGCCAAUUUCAGAGUCACGUUCAGCCAUACUGGUUGGUUAAAGAGCCAAGGCAAUGAACUGAGCAGAGCCAGGAUGGGGCUGCAGGACGUUACUCCGGAAGCCGAAGACAACCUCAUGGUCAUUUGAUCUGAAAGCCAUCAACAGUAGCCUUUGGACCCAUCAUUUAGAAGGUUCUCGACACACCACAACCUCAAGGGUUGGAUUGGGUUCUGCUCUUUGCCACAUUUUGCCCAUUUGAGAACAAGAGGAGCUGAGCACACUUUGCUCUGAGGCAGUUCUGAGUUUAAGCCUCACCUUUCUGGAUCAAAUUCAUCGACAGCUGGGGAUUCAUGCUUGUGGACUUGCUGUUUCAAAGUCAGAUGCUUUUCCUUAUUGGCCAGAAACUCCUAUUCCAGCAGUUCGAGGUGUCCCUGCAUUUUCUCGAGGACUUGUAACAGUGGAGUCACUGGAAUCAUUCACAGAUCCACCCUCCAACUUUCUCCGUGCCCCAGCCAGGAGGCUGGCCUUCAAUGCACUGUAUCAAUAGGCUCCCAUGCCUCUGGCUUUGGUUGAUUUCAGCCAAUGGAAGACAACAGCAGGAGAGAGGAACUGAAGAAGGAUGAGUUGGAAGUUGGCUGCAAUUGAAUAAUAGAGCAAAACCUGAUCAUGCUGUGCCUGCUUCUUCUGGGUAGCUUUGACUGUAAGAAAUCAGCUUUGAAGACUACAUAGGGAACCUCUGAUGUGAUCUAAACUUGUCUUUUUUUUGUUGCUUUUGUUGUUCUUUUAAGAGCCUUCAAAAAUACUGACUUUGACUCUGUUUUAAUUUUCAAAUUCUCUCCCUCUGUUCCUAGCUCAAGAUUUCUAUUUACCCAUGAAAGCAAAUAGGAGAUGGCUCAGAGUAGUAUAUCCCAGGCCACGCCCAGAGGUCAGGUAGUCAUGGAUUUUGUAUCCAGUGUAUGGUGUUUCUAGAUUAAAAUAUGUUCAGAGGUAAUGUGAUAGAAGGCUCCCUCUGCAAUGACUGCAUUUGAUUACGCUCUGGUAAUUCUAUCAGCUAACUCUAUCUCAGAAAUGUAGGGUGCCCACAAAUGCAGUGUCUGUGACUGUAACCACACACCAUUCAGGGCGACGGUCUGGCUUCAUCCAGCUAUUGUUGAGUGGCAGUAGGAAGACACUGUGAAGGAGCAACAAACCAAUCCAAUCCUCCCUGGAGAGCCGAUAGAUGUAUUAUUCAUAGUCAGUCUUAGCAAUGUAGGCCUUCCAUGAGUGUACGCAAAUUUGAUGACCAGCUGCUACAAGUUAUCUACCCUGAAACUGUUUUAAAAGAACAAAAAAUUUUUUUGAGACUGAGUAAACUAGUGUAUGGAGAAGCUUCCUCUUGGUGUUUUACCAGCAGCCUUUGCUUACUUUCCUUGCCCUUUGGUGGUCAGUGCUGUCCUUUUAUCCAAUUUUCCCACUGACAUAGCCAGGUAAUCAUCAUAGAUUGUUGGAUUUGUAUGGUAAACAAUGGACCUUUGCUGUGCUUUGGGAACGUUUAGAAAACUCUUACCAGUUGAUUUUCUAAAAAUAAUACUUACCACAAAUUUCAAAACACGCUUGAUUUAAAGAAGUAUAAUACCUCAUCCUUUCCCUAAACUUUCUAGCUUAAGUUUGGCAACCUCUGCCUAGAGAUAAGAAGGGCCAGAAUAUUUUAGGAAAAUUCUUUCUCUUUUGUUUAAAGACUUGCCCUUCUUUCCCUCACGUUUUACCUCCUGUCUAAAGGAAGAACAUUGACUUGAAAUUAUCAAUAAAUGUUUCAAAGAAUAAAAUG
This is a long non-coding RNA of Aethalodelphis obliquidens (Pacific white-sided dolphin), 1963 nucleotides long. RefSeq lists it as uncharacterized. The record is from RefSeq and is a predicted model, not a curated record. The transcript has 5 exons. NCBI's taxonomy places the organism in Eukaryota, Metazoa, Chordata, Mammalia, Artiodactyla, Delphinidae.